UUCGACGGCCGAUUGCAGAACCCCUGUGUAACGUUUUUGUUCCUCAUUGAAUCCAUUCAUAACGUCUAUCCAUCAACUAUCUCCGUCCACCUCUGCCACUUCGACUUUAAUGACCCCUUACUCAACUUUCAUCUCAAAUCCCUAAUUCCUGAGACUAUAUAUAAGGAUUAAGACCACAUCAAAUCUCACUGUUUCACGAGAUUCAAUCAUAUUCCCUCCUCUCAAACACAGUCUGCAACGAUGGCGUCAUCCCAUAUCCUUAUUUCUGAUUUAAAAGUUGGCCGUUGUCUCAGACGGUGGUGAAGCGUCUCCAGCAUUUCUGGGGAUCAUGCAACGUCAAGAAAGGAGGAGAGCUCAUGAGGGUCAACAUGUUCUUGAUAUAAAGGUCGAGCGCCUCAUGUCCCCUCGAUUAUAGAAUUGAUUUUUAUUCUUUUGAUUCUCUAAUAUGUUGUCAUAUUUUCUGUUUUAACAGUCAUCGCUCAAGCGUUUAGAAAAUACUAUCGUCCAACAAUCAACUCAGUCAAUUACAUCAAAAAUCUAGCAUAUAUAACUAAGAAUGAUACAUAUUUCUUAUCAAUAUCUCCAACAAAUUUCAGUUUAUUUUUGUUGUUUACAAUGUUAUUGUUCUUAGAAGGGUAUAUUAUAUGUAUAACCAAUGAGAUCAAGCAAAGCACUAUGCAAUCAGGUUCUUGGUUGUAUGUUUUGUAAAGUAAAGAGCUCUGGAUUCCGUCUCUUUCUUUCGCCGGCAAGGCUAUGCCCCUUGCCUCUUAGGUAUUUUAUCGCAAAUCUCCGUCUCUUUGUUUUGUGAUUAUGAUUUAGUUAUCAAUUUGUUUGGUCUUUCUUUGAGUUUUUGUGUUUGUCCAGAUUGGAUAUGAUUAUAUUUUAUUAUCAAUCAUGUGUAUGGGGAUUUGUUCGAUUCUGAAUUGACGAGCGUGUAAUGUUCUAUCAGGCUUGGAUAUUUUUGUGACACCUGUCACCUCCUAUAUGGAGGACAGCGUGUCACCCCCGACGCGUCAUCAUACAACAAUGUGAUACCCGUCUCCCUGACACUAAGGACGACGGGCCACCAACAAUAUCCCGUAAUAUAAAAGCCCAUAAACCCGACAACUCUCACCCAUGCCCAAAUAAAAUCCGAAAGAAAAGUCCA
Molecule: long non-coding RNA, 1147 nt
Organism: Brassica napus (rape)
Lineage: Eukaryota; Viridiplantae; Streptophyta; Magnoliopsida; Brassicales; Brassicaceae
Exons: 2
Source: RefSeq, a predicted model, not a curated record